This 242-nucleotide long non-coding RNA is filed under the name Malus domestica (apple). RNAcentral's name for it is "long non-coding RNA (MDOM_LNC011047)". Lineage: Eukaryota; Viridiplantae; Streptophyta; Magnoliopsida; Rosales; Rosaceae. The record is from RNAcentral.
GACUCAAGGUUCAGUACUAUAAAUAGGGGACGCUGUGCAUCAGGAAAAGCCCCGACAAAAUCAAUACAAAAUUGCCCUGCGCAAACUCUCACAACUUGUGAUUUUUCUUUUUUCUUUUUUCGCUGACACAUCUUCCGUUGGCAUCAACAGCACUGUGAAGGCAACCAGUGAUAUCUUCAGUCGGCAUAGAUAGCUCUGUCACCGUAGAAUCAGCCGAUCUCGCAGCAUCUUCCGUUGGCAUC